This 887-nucleotide ribosomal RNA is filed under the name Bifidobacterium bifidum. Its description in RNAcentral is "bacterial SSU rRNA". It matches the Rfam family "Bacterial small subunit ribosomal RNA", at positions 155 to 1053 of the family's 1533-position model. Lineage: Bacteria; Bacillati; Actinomycetota; Actinomycetes; Bifidobacteriales; Bifidobacteriaceae. The record is from RNAcentral.
UGGGUGGGUAAAUGCCGGAUGUUCCACAUGAUCGCAUGUGAUUGUGGGAAAGAUUCUAUCGGCGUGGGAUGGGGUCGCGUCCUAUCAGCUUGUUGGUGAGGUAACGGCUCACCAAGGCUUCGACGGGUAGCCGGCCUGAGAGGGCGACCGGCCACAUUGGGACUGAGAUACGGCCCAGACUCCUACGGGAGGCAGCAGUGGGGAAUAUUGCACAAUGGGCGCAAGCCUGAUGCAGCGACGCCGCGUGAGGGAUGGAGGCCUUCGGGUUGUAAACCUCUUUUGUUUGGGAGCAAGCCUUCGGGUGAGUGUACCUUUCGAAUAAGCGCCGGCUAACUACGUGCCAGCAGCCGCGGUAAUACGUAGGGCGCAAGCGUUAUCCGGAUUUAUUGGGCGUAAAGGGCUCGUAGGCGGCUCGUCGCGUCCGGUGUGAAAGUCCAUCGCUUAACGGUGGAUCUGCGCCGGGUACGGGCGGGCUGGAGUGCGGUAGGGGAGACUGGAAUUCCCGGUGUAACGGUGGAAUGUGUAGAUAUCGGGAAGAACACCGAUGGCGAAGGCAGGUCUCUGGGCCGUCACUGACGCUGAGGAGCGAAAGCGUGGGGAGCGAACAGGAUUAGAUACCCUGGUAGUCCACGCCGUAAACGGUGGACGCUGGAUGUGGGGCACGUUCCACGUGUUCCGUGUCGGAGCUAACGCGUUAAGCGUCCCGCCUGGGGAGUACGGCCGCAAGGCUAAAACUCAAAGAAAUUGACGGGGGCCCGCACAAGCGGCGGAGCAUGCGGAUUAAUUCGAUGCAACGCGAAGAACCUUACCUGGGCUUGACAUGUUCCCGACGACGCCAGAGAUGGCGUUUCCCUUCGGGGCGGGUUCACAGGUGGUGCAUGGUCAAG